Molecule: ribosomal RNA, 253 nt
Filed under: uncultured bacterium
Lineage: Bacteria
Description: partial 16S ribosomal RNA
Rfam family: Bacterial small subunit ribosomal RNA
Source: RNAcentral
UACAGAGGGUGCGAGCGUUGUCCGGAAUCACUGGGCGUAAAGGGCGCGUAGGUGGCGCUCCAAGUCUGUGGUGAAAGCUCGAUGCUCAACAUCGAGUCGGCCAUAGAGACUGGAGGGCUCGAGCACUGUAGGGGCAGAUGGAAUUCCGGGUGUAGCGGUGGAAUGCGUAGAGAUCCGGAAGAACACCGGUGGCGAAGGCGGUCUGCUGGGCAGUAGCUGACACUGAGGCGCGACAGCGUGGGGAGCAAACAGG